UACGUAGGUCCCGAGCGUUGUCCGGAUUUGUUGGGCGUAAAGCGAGCGCAGGUGGUUUAUUAAGUCUGGUGUAAAAGGCAGUGGCUCAACCAUUGUAUGCAUUGGAAACUGGUAGACUUGAGUGCAGGAGAGGAGAGUGGAAUUCCAUGUGUAGCGGUGAAAUGCGUAGAUAUAUGGAGGAACACCGGUGGCGAAAGCGGCUCUCUGGCCUGUAACUGACACUUAGGCUCGAAAGCGUGGGGAGCAAACAGG
This 252-nucleotide ribosomal RNA is filed under the name uncultured bacterium. RNAcentral's name for it is "partial 16S ribosomal RNA". It matches the Rfam family "Bacterial small subunit ribosomal RNA", at positions 524 to 776 of the family's 1533-position model. The record is from RNAcentral.